GACGAACGCUGGCGGCGCGCUUAACACAUGCAAGUCGAACGGAAAGGCCUGCUUUCCCUUGUGGAUUGCGGGUACUCGAGUGGCGAACGGGUGAGUAACACGUGAGUGAUCUGCCCCCAACUUGGGUAUAAGCCUGGGAAACUGGGUCUAAUUCCCGAUAGGACUGCAGGGUGGUGCCUGUGGUGGAAAACGAUUUUCUAGUGGUUGGGGAUGAGCUCGCGGCCUAUCAGCUUGUUGGUGGGGUAAUGGCCUACCAAGGCGGCGACGGGUAGCCGGCCUGAGAGGGUGGACGGCCACAUUGGGACUGAGAUACGGCCCAGACUCCUACGGGAGGCAGCAGUGGGGAAUAUUGCACAAUGGGCGGAAGCCUGAUGCAGCGACGCCGCGUGGGGGAUGACGGCCUUCGGGUUGUAAACUCCUUUCGACCGCGAGGAAGCCACCUGGUUGGAAGGGUGGUGACGGUAGUAGUAGAAGAAGCACCGGCUAACUACGUG
This 494-nucleotide ribosomal RNA is filed under the name uncultured bacterium. RNAcentral describes it as "partial 16S ribosomal RNA". It matches the Rfam family "Bacterial small subunit ribosomal RNA", at positions 28 to 507 of the family's 1533-position model. The record is from RNAcentral.